Molecule: long non-coding RNA, 817 nt
Filed under: Anas platyrhynchos platyrhynchos (common mallard)
Lineage: Eukaryota; Metazoa; Chordata; Aves; Anseriformes; Anatidae
Description: lncRNA (ENSAPLG00000017877.1)
Source: RNAcentral
GUAACUGGUUUUAUGACAGCAAAUCAACUGAGUCAGCUCAUGGGAAGUUGUAGGGCACAUUGAUAGGCAUUUCGAUCAGGACCUGAAGAACAAGUUCUAGACAAAGGUGACUACAGCUCUGAAGAUGGAUAUGCUGUCUUGUGAGUCGGAGGGCUUCCCUCUCCAUAGUUGUAUUAAGAAUGAGGUUAAAAGCUCUCAGACAGACUCCUCAAAGCCACAUCCACAGCACAGCGAACACAACAGUGCUUGAAACAGGGACUCUGCCUCUUCUGGGAACUUUGAAAACAACUGCUGAGGGUAUUUCUACAGUUCUUGACAGUGAGCAAACAUCCCAAACAUUCUGUGGUUAUGGAUACUACAUUCCUAAUGUUCCCAGCAUUUUUGCUAUAUUCAUAGCAGAGAAAGGUUUUGUGUACAGACAGCAGCCUGAGGAAAUCUGUGGGAAUCAGGAGUACCCAGAGCCUUUUAAAAUCAAGUUUUCAAUGUCUUUCACUGGUUGUCACUGACAUUUAGCAGCUGGAAAUCUUGACUGGCAACUCUUUGAGUGGUCACAGGUUAUAGAAAACUAAUUGAGAACUUUAUCUACAUAGAACCUUCCAUUUAUCACUAUAACACAAUAUUUCCUCUUUUUAUUUCUUUAAGGAUAGGUUUUAUCUGCCUCUUGAUGUUAACUAGAGUUGUAGUGGUAUGCAAGUUGCUCUUCUGGUAUUAAGACAAAUGAGAGAACCAGAAUUUGUUUUUAACAUUGUUCUCUUUGCAGAAACAUUAUAUAACGAGUGUUGAAAUUAAAGUAAUAAAAUUCUCUCAAAUACUUUCA